This 432-nucleotide ribosomal RNA is filed under the name uncultured bacterium. Its description in RNAcentral is "partial 16S ribosomal RNA". It matches the Rfam family "Bacterial small subunit ribosomal RNA", at positions 29 to 506 of the family's 1533-position model. The record is from RNAcentral.
AACGAACGCUGGCGGCAGGCCUAACACAUGCAAGUCGAGCGGACCCUUCGGGGUUAGCGGCGGACGGGUGAGUAACGCGUGGGAAUAUGCCCUUCUCUACGGAAUAGUUCUGGGAAACUGGGGGUAAUACCGUAUACGCCCUUUGGGGGAAAGAUUUAUUGGGGCAGGAUUAGCCCGCGUUGGAUUAGGUAGUUGGUGGGGUAAUGGCCUACCAAGCCGACGAUCCAUAGCUGGUUUGAGAGGAUGAUCAGCCACACUGGGACUGAGACACGGCCCAGACUCCAACGAGAGGCAGCAGUGGGGAAUCUUAGACAAUGAGGGCAACCCUGAUCUAGCCAGGCCGCGUGAGUGAUGAAGGCCUUAGGAUUGUAAAGCUCUUUCAGCUGGGAAGGUAAGGACGGUACCAGCAGAAGAAGCCCCGGCAAACUCCGU